UAAAAGAGCAUUAAGUCAACCUUGAUCGGGUAUCACUGUAAUGGUGCAGCACUUAGGAGGCUCAGGAAGGAGGGCCUGAAGUUCAAGGUUGUCCUCAGAUAACGUAGUGAGGUCAUGGCUCUAAGGCUACAAGAGGCAAGUUGUAAGCUUAGUUUUCAAAACCUACUUUAUUUAGGGUUCUUAAACACUUCAACCCCCCUUCUAACCCACCAACCAGAAGUAGGGGGAAAGAAGGUCAAUAGGAAGAGGGGGCUGUGGACCUGUUAGAAGUAGUUCCCAUGUUUGUAGUCAGGAAACCAGCAGUCCAGCUCAAUAGCAAGCACCAGACACAAAUCAGUAGCUGCAGUACAAUGCAGCAGAAACACCAAGGCUCCCCAAAUCGGCAUGAAUCAGCAAAAGCAACCAGAAGCAGCCAUAACACCACAGGAAGGUCUUUGCAUAUUUCUCUCUACAAAGUAAAGACCACCAAAGAAGGGAAGCGUUGCACGGCAUAGCAAUUCAAGAGUGUCCUCUCACUGCCUUCGGGGUUCCAUUUACAUUCUUUCUAAACAUCACACGCACUCUCAAGUGUCCAUUUUCAGCAAAACAUCACAUGCCCUCUCACAAGACAGCUUCCAAAAACAUCUCGCAUGACACAACUGAGUUGUUAAACCAUAAAUGUCCACUUUACCCGAUAGUUUCUGCUCACCCCAAGAAAGACCACCUCAGGACUAGCCUGUGCAUAAUCAUGAGACCUGUGUCAAAAACAACAAAAAAAUCUAAAAUUAAAACAUGUAGGUGUUUGGGUUUUGGGGGAUGGGAAUUAGAUUGGUGUGUUUGCUCAUAUGUAUACAUACAUACAUGUAGAAGCCAGAGGUCAGCCUUAGGUGCUACACCUCAGUGGCAUUCAUCUUGGUUUUCGGCUCAAUGUAACUGAACUCUGAAUGGAACUCCCUAUGUAAACUCGGGUGAGUUUGAACUCGUAGGGAUCUGCCUGCCUUUGCCUCCUGAGUGUUGGGAAUAAAAGCGUGAGCCUGCA
RNAcentral lists this long non-coding RNA (1018 nucleotides) under Rattus norvegicus (Norway rat). Its description in RNAcentral is "long non-coding RNA NONRATT030719". Lineage: Eukaryota; Metazoa; Chordata; Mammalia; Rodentia; Muridae. The record is from RNAcentral.